Molecule: long non-coding RNA, 686 nt
Organism: Anguilla anguilla (European eel)
Lineage: Eukaryota; Metazoa; Chordata; Actinopteri; Anguilliformes; Anguillidae
Exons: 3
Source: RefSeq, a predicted model, not a curated record
GGGGGGCCACGUGACGCCUGUUCAGGGGCAUGCCUGAGCAGCACUCUGCCUUACUGCUCAUAUUCAGCUACAGUUGUGGGGGUGGCAAUAUUAAGCAACAGAAAGGCCGUAUAGGGAGUCUGUUGAAUAGUUUACUUCUCAACGAGUCAAUGUGGGCUGAAAACAUUUUAGCAGUAAGGAGAAUAUGUUGUACUGCUUGUUAUGCAGACUAUACUUGUUAUACUUGUUAUCUUGCUUUGGAUCUCUUUUGUCUGUGUGCAAGGUGAAAUGGCAAGAACUGUGAGGGAUAUGAGCAUUGUGUGGCUUUUACCCACUCCCCGCAAAAUAGGGAGGGGAUGUUUUCCACACGAUGCUCUGCUCUGCUGUUAGGUCUCCCUCCAGGCGACAGUCAUCAUUUGAUGAUCGCUAAGGUCAUGAGAUAGCGUUUUGCUGUCUGACCGGACGGAAUCUGACAACAGAUCUUAGGGAAAGUUUGCCAAAUGUGAUCUAUACACAUAGUAACAUGAAUACAUAUUAAUCAACGUAAACCAAAUACAUAUUAAAUGAAUGCUAAGAAACGCAAGAGUCCUAGUGCAGGAAUAUAAAGAUGUAUGUUAGGAUUAGGCUAGGCAGGGGGUGUGCCGCAAGGCCUACCCACAUGGGCUGUCGUGCGAAGGCGGCACAAAAAGAGUGCUCCACAGUCUCUG